CGGGUGGUAAUGCCGGAUGCUCCAGUUGAUCGCAUGGUCUUCUGGGAAAGCUUUCGCGGUAUGGGAUGGGGUCGCGUCCUAUCAGCUUGACGGCGGGGUAACGGCCCACCGUGGCUUCGACGGGUAGCCGGCCUGAGAGGGCGACCGGCCACAUUGGGACUGAGAUACGGCCCAGACUCCUACGGGAGGCAGCAGUGGGGAAUAUUGCACAAUGGGCGCAAGCCUGAUGCAGCGACGCCGCGUGAGGGAUGGAGGCCUUCGGGUUGUAAACCUCUUUUAUCGGGGAGCAAGCGAGAGUGAGUUUACCCGUUGAAUAAGCACCGGCUAACUACGUGCCAGCAGCCGCGGUAAUACGUAGGGUGCAAGCGUUAUCCGGAAUUAUUGGGCGUAAAGGGCUCGUAGGCGGUUCGUCGCGUCCGGUGUGAAAGUCCAUCGCUUAACGGUGGAUCCGCGCCGGGUACGGGCGGGCUUGAGUGCGGUAGGGGAGACUGGAAUUCCCGGUGUAACGGUGGAAUGUGUAGAUAUCGGAAAGAAACACCA
This 540-nucleotide ribosomal RNA is filed under the name Bifidobacterium longum subsp. suillum. RNAcentral describes it as "bacterial SSU rRNA". It matches the Rfam family "Bacterial small subunit ribosomal RNA", at positions 157 to 711 of the family's 1533-position model. The record is from RNAcentral. Lineage: Bacteria; Bacillati; Actinomycetota; Actinomycetes; Bifidobacteriales; Bifidobacteriaceae.